AUGCACGCUGGCGGCGUGCCUAAUCCAUGCAAGUCGCGCGAACAGACGAGGAGCUUGCUCCUCUGACGUUAGCGGCGGACGGGUGAGUAACACGUGGAUAACCUACCUAUAAGACUGGGAUAACUUCGGGAAACCGGAGCUAAUACCGGAUAAUAUAUUGAACCGCAUGGUUCAAUAGUGAAAGACGGUUUUGCUGUCACUUAUAGAUGGAUCCGCGCCGCAUUAGCUAGUUGGUAAGGUAACGGCUUACCAAGGCAACGAUGCGUAGCCGACCUGAGAGGGUGAUCGGCCACACUGGAACUGAGACACGGUCCAGACUCCUACGGGAGGCAGCAGUAGGGAAUCUUCCGCAAUGGGCGAAAGCCUGACGGAGCAACGCCGCGUGAGUGAUGAAGGUCUUCGGAUCGUAAAACUCUGUUAUUAGGGAAGAACAAAUGUGUAAGUAACUAUGCACGUCUUGACGGUACCUAAUCAGAAAGCCACGGCUAACUACGUG
RNAcentral lists this ribosomal RNA (496 nucleotides) under uncultured bacterium. Its description in RNAcentral is "partial 16S ribosomal RNA". It matches the Rfam family "Bacterial small subunit ribosomal RNA", at positions 29 to 507 of the family's 1533-position model. The record is from RNAcentral.